RNAcentral lists this unclassified non-coding RNA (329 nucleotides) under soil metagenome. Its description in RNAcentral is "partial contains 5.8S ribosomal RNA, internal transcribed spacer 2, and large subunit ribosomal RNA". The stretch from base 1 to 120 matches the Rfam family "5.8S ribosomal RNA", at positions 35 to 154 of the family's 154-position model. The record is from RNAcentral.
GAUGAAGAACGCAGCGAAAUGCGAUAAGUAGUGUGAAUUGCAGAAUUCAGUGAAUCAUCGAAUCUUUGAACGCACAUUGCGCCCCUUGGUAUCCCGAGGGGCAUGCCUGUUCGAGCGUCAUUUCACCACUCAAGCCUGGCUUGGUGUUGGGCGACGUCCCCUUUGGGGACGCGCCUCGAAACGCUCGGCGGCGUGGCACCGGCUUUAAGCGUAGCAGAAUCUUUCGCUUUGGAAGUCGGGGCCCCGUCUGCCGGAAGACCUACUCGCAAGGUUGACCUCGGAUCAGGCAGGGAUACCCGCUGAACUUAAGCAUAUCAAUAAUCGGAGGA